This 611-nucleotide ribosomal RNA is filed under the name uncultured soil bacterium. RNAcentral describes it as "bacterial SSU rRNA". It matches the Rfam family "Bacterial small subunit ribosomal RNA", at positions 10 to 662 of the family's 1533-position model. The record is from RNAcentral.
AGAUUGAUCCUGGCUCAGGAUGAACGCUGGCGGUCUGCUUAACACAUGCAAGUCGAACGGGGGUAGCAGUACCUCAGUGGCGGACGGGUGAGUAACGCGUGAGAAUCUGCCUUCAGGUUCGGGACAACCAUUGGAAACGGUGGCUAAUACCGGAUGUGCUUCACGGUGAAAGAUUUAUCGCCUGAAGAGGAGCUCGCGUCUGAUUAGCUAGUUGGUAGGGUAAAAGCCUACCAAGGCGACGAUCAGUAGCUGGUCUGAGAGGAUGAUCAGCCACACUGGGACUGAGACACGGCCCAGACUCCUACGGGAGGCAGCAGUGGGGAAUUUUCCGCAAUGGGCGAAAGCCUGACGGAGCAAGACCGCGUGAGGGAGGAAGGCUCUUGGGUUGUAAACCUCUUUUCUCAGGGAAGAAGAAAGUGACGGUACCUGAGGAAUCAGCCUCGGCUAACUCCGUGCCAGCAGCCGCGGUAAUACGGAGGAGGCAAGCGUUAUCCGGAAUUAUUGGGCGUAAAGCGUCCGCAGGUGGCUCGCUCAAGUCUGCUGUCAAAGACCGGGGCUUAACUCCGGAAAGGCAGUGGAAACUGACAAGCUAGAGGGCUCUAGGGGGUAGA